UUAAGUAGUAUCGAGAAAAAUCAUAACACAAAAGCAUCUCCUCCAUAUAUAUUUUAGACUGUGUGUGCGUGCGGGUGUGUCUCAAAACAACUUUGAUAUCGAUAGAACUUUGUAACGCUGUGUAUAAGUAGAGGACAUCUUAUAAACUAUCAAGACAUGAUAUGGUUUCAACGGCACAUUUGAAGUUGUUGAAUUGUGGCGUGUGUCUUUUGUAUUAUAGCAACAGUUAAAUGUGUAAUGAACCUUAUAAAUAACUUAGAGUCCAGUGGUGAAUGAGGCAAACCACUGUGUUCAUGUGUACAUAGGUGCUUUAUAUUUGGAUAUAGAGAUAGGGGAAAAGUACAGAUGUACUUUUAUACUGUUAUACCGAACGUGCUUUGUGCAAUAACAGAAAUAGUUCAUACUUUUGAGGUUGUACUGUAUGUGAUUGUGCAUUUCACCAAAUUAAAACAUUCAUACAUAGAAACUUGUACGUUAUUACACUAGCCAUUGCUACUAUUUUAAAAAGUCAUCAAUAUUAAAGGAAAAGAGAAAAGAGAACAUCCAACUAGUAUACUGUACAGUGUGAGUGAGAUUUUAAAUGGUUUCUUUUACAACAAAUUAACAAACUAAAUCAGUGGCUUUUAACUUGUGUUGGUCAUGACAGUGUGGCAAUACCUGUGUGGACAGACAAUGUAGAUUAAGUGUCUUGUCCAAAGAUACAGACAAAUAGCAUGAGCGAGAUUUGAAACCAGGUCUACAUAUUGGCAGCCCAGCUCCUUAUCCACUUAUCCACCUGCUCCACUGAUCUCCAGAGGUUGAUACAUAAAUGAACUUUUGGCUCCUGGUCACACCUGCACCAUCACUGCCAUGAUCUGUUCAAAUGGCCACAGAGCUGAAGAACCCAAAGGGCAAAUUCCAUGUG
Molecule: long non-coding RNA, 904 nt
Organism: Thalassophryne amazonica
Lineage: Eukaryota; Metazoa; Chordata; Actinopteri; Batrachoidiformes; Batrachoididae
Exons: 2
Source: RefSeq, a predicted model, not a curated record